RNAcentral lists this ribosomal RNA (1402 nucleotides) under uncultured bacterium. RNAcentral describes it as "16S ribosomal RNA". It matches the Rfam family "Bacterial small subunit ribosomal RNA". The record is from RNAcentral.
AGAGUUUGAUCCUGGCUCAGGAUGAACGCUAGCGACAUGCUUAACACAUGCAAGUCGAGGGGCAGCGGGGGCGUAGCAAUAUGCCUGCCGGCGACCGGCGCACGGGUGAGUAACACGUAUGUAACCUGCCCUAUGCAGGGGGAUAACCCGGAGAAAUCCGGCCUAAUACCGCGUAACACCUUAGGGGAGCAUUCUCUUGAGGUUAAAGGAGAGAUCCGGCAUAAGAUGGACAUGCGUCACAUUAGGUAGACGGCGGGGUAACGGCCCACCGUGCCCACUAUGAGUAGGGGUUCUGAGAGGAAGGCCCCCCACACUGGUACUGACACACGGACCACACUCCUACGGGAGGCAGCAGUGAGGAAUAUUGGUCAACUGGCCGAGAGGCUGAACCAGCCAAGUCGCGUGAGGGAAGAAUGUCCUAAGGAUUGUAAACCUCUUUUGUCGGGGAGCAAAAAGGCUCUGCAGAGUCGUAUUGAGAGUACCCGAAGAAAAAGCAUCGGCUAACUCCGUGCCAGCAGCCGCGGUAAUACGGAGGAUGCGAGCGUUAUCCGGAUUUAUUGGGUUUAAAGGGUGCGCAGGCGGCGUGUCAAGCAAGCGGUAAAAUAGCGGGGCUCAACCCCGUCGAGCCGUUUGAACUGGCGCGCUUGAGUUCAGGCGAGGUAGGCGGAAUUCGUGGUGUAGCGGUGAAAUGCAUAGAUAUCACGAAGAACUCCGAUUGCGAAGGCAGCUUACCAGUCUGCGACUGACGCUCAGGCACGAAAGUGUGGGUAUCGAACAGGAUUAGAUACCCUGGUAGUCCACGCAGUAAACGAUGAGCGCUAGGUGUCCGGGUCGCAUGAGCCUUGGUUGCCCGAGCGAAAGCGUUAAGCGCUCCACCUGGGGAGUACGCCGGCAACAGUGAAACUCAAAGGAAUUGACGGGGGCCCGCACAAGCGGAGGAACAUGUGGUUUAAUUCGAUGAUACGCGAGGAACCUUACCCGGGCUCAAACGCCUCAGGAAUAUAUUGGAACCGAUGUAGCCAGCAAUGGUAUGAGUCGAGGUGCUGCAUGGUUGUCGUCAGCUCGUGCCGUGAGGUGUCGGCUUAAGUGCCAUAACGAGCGCAACCCCUACCCCCAGUUGCCAACGGGUAAAGCCGGGCACUCUGGCGGGACUGCCGGCGCAAGCUGUGAGGAAGGCGGGGAUGACGUCAAAUCAUCACGCCCCUUACGUCCGGGGCGACACACGUGUUACAAUGGCAGGUACAGCGGGAAGCCACCUGGUGACAGGGAGCGGAACCCGAAAGCCUGUCUCCGUUUGGAUUGGCGUCUGCCACUUGACUCCCUGAAGCCGGAUUUGCUAGUAAUUGCGCAUCAGCCAUGGCGCGGUGAAUACGUUCCCGGGCCUUGCACACACCGCCCGUCA